This 538-nucleotide ribosomal RNA is filed under the name Percopsis omiscomaycus. Its description in RNAcentral is "partial 16S ribosomal RNA". It matches the Rfam family "Bacterial large subunit ribosomal RNA", at positions 1845 to 2595 of the family's 2925-position model. The record is from RNAcentral. Lineage: Eukaryota; Metazoa; Chordata; Actinopteri; Percopsiformes; Percopsidae.
AUAAGAGGUCCGCCUGCCCUGUGACAAAUGUUAACGGCCGCGGUAUUUUGACCGUGCGAAGGAGCGCAAUCACUUGCUCUUAAAUGGAGACCUGUAUGAAUGGCAUCACGAGGGCUUAGCUGUCUCCUUUUUCCAGUCAAUGAAAUUGAUCUCCCCGUGCAGAAGCGGGGAUAAACACAUAAGACGAGAAGACCUAUGGAGCUUAAGACCAACCUCGGCCCAUGUGGAGCACUCAACAAAGGCAGAACUAAGUGGACCCGAGGAAGUGUCUUUGGUUGGGGCGACCGCGGGGGAUCAACAAGCCCCCAUGUGGAAUAGAGAAACAUCUCUAGAACCUAGAGCUACUGCUCCAAGUAACAGAACAUCUGACCUACACGAUCCGGCAAAGCCGAUCAACGAACCGAGUUACCCUAGGGAUAACAGCGCAAUCCUCUCCCAGAGCCCAUAUCGACGAGGGGGUUUACGACCUCGAUGUUGGAUCAGGACAUCCUAAUGGUGCAGCCGCUAUUAAGGGUUCGUUUGUUCAACGAUUAAUCUC